This 32-nucleotide non-coding RNA is filed under the name unclassified sequences. The record is from RNAcentral.
CUCUGUGCGAAGGCACGGCAGGGCAGAAGGAG